This is a non-coding RNA of Coturnix japonica (Japanese quail), 14802 nucleotides long. The record is from RefSeq and is a predicted model, not a curated record. NCBI's taxonomy places the organism in Eukaryota, Metazoa, Chordata, Aves, Galliformes, Phasianidae.
UACACGGUAGUGAAUACAUUUAAUAUUCUCUGAGCAGAGACAAUGAUGUCCUGGGUUUGCAGCAGGCUGGUUUCUUUUUCUUCUGUGUUUUUGAUGUUUCAGCCUCGUGGUAGGUAAGUCCCCGAGAUCACAAGGUUCUUCUCAGGAAGCUGGAGGUCUGCGGGUCCUGUAGCUCCCACUGGCUGCAGAUGGAGGACACUGUCUCUUUACUGAAUGGAUAAUGAACGGUGGCUGUAAGGUAGGUGUUUAUCUGUACAUCUUGCAUUGUCCUGAAUGCUAAGAGGUUAGUCGUAGUCUUUUACAUUUGUGUUAGAAUCACAGAAUGCCCUGAGUUAAAAAGGAACUCAAAGAUCAUUUGGUUUCAACCCCUGUAACACAGGCAGGGUCACCAACCUCUAGACCAGGUUGCCCAACUCCACAUCCUGCCUGGCCUUGAAUGUCCUGCAAUGGUACAUUUCUGAAUCCUCUGGAUAAAAGUAUUGUUGCUGCUUAUUGGGCACUUAUUGCCUGAAAGAACAGUGACAGCGAUGUGGUUUCAGAAGACUAAAGAACAGUGAAAAUGUCUGAAAAAUGGGGAUUUAUGUGAAACCCUGCCAGUGUUAUGGGAACAAACAGAAUAACCUCUAAGACAGCGUUGCCUUUCAUUGCAGUGGUUCUGUAAUUAGACCUCUUCUCUUUAGCUUUAUUUCAUUAAUGGGAAAAUAGUAGUUUUUUAAUAGAGAACAAGGGAUAAGGGAAUUUGUCAUAUUAGUAGCUGAUAAAGGAUUUGAGAGGGAGUCUAAAACUGGAACUGUAAAAGUAUGGUAUUUGCUUUUACCUGCAGGCAUCUAUGAAACAAGAGAUGGGCAGAAUUGUCUUGUUUUGGUUUAAUAUUAGAGACACAAACACGCAUAAGUGAAUGAAAUUGGACAUAUUUAGUAAUGGCUCAAUAAAUAUUAGCAAAUGGGUGGCACAAUUUAAUCAGAGUGGUUGCAGUUGAUAAGGUGCUGAAAAGCUCUGAUUGAGACUGCUGGGAGGCUAAAUGAAAAGCUGAAGAUUUGGAGAUAAGGAUUGAUGGACAUAAUGUUAUUAUAAUUGGGAAUAGUAGAGAACGUAAAGCACUGAGAAAUUAAAUUGAUGACCUGUAAAACAAGCUUAGAUGAAGAAAAAAUCAGGUUGAUAAAAGCUCCUGCAGGCAAAGCACAGGGCAAGAGAAGAGAGUGUGUUGGAUAAGCUUAAAUUUUGCCCAACUGCUUUCUUAAGUAGUUGGGAUAAUAUGGAUUUGGGAAGUGUUGUAAUAGUGUAGGUGUCAAUCAAAAUCUCUGUUCUAUGGAGAUUUGACAUUCCCUUGAGAGUACUGCAAACUGUAUUUAAGCUGCUACACAUGAAAUGCUGCAUUCUUUUUUUCUUCUCUGUUGCUUCACUCUGAUCUUCAGGGCUUCUUAUUUCUUUCAUGGUUGCCCCUUUAGUAAACCAAAAAUCAGCAUUUCUUAUCCAACGUGGCAUUAACACUCAUCUUCAGGUUUUUCAGGGAGUCAUUUCUUCAGCUCAAAUCAUGAGCACAAUCCUGGUGCAGCAAAGUGUUCUGUUGUGGGAUCAAAGGAUAUCCACUGUAUCAGGGCAUCGAGUAUUCCUUCAGGAAAGCAUAGUAGACUCCAAUUAACUUGAUUUAUCUUUGGGGGCAAAAAAAUGUGUUCAUCUUUUUGGCUUUCAGAAUGGAAAAAGUCAUUUGCAACUCUACCAGAAAAACAAUUGGAUAUAAAUUACCUGGGGUCAUCCAAGGCAAAAUUUCACUUUGCUCUGUCUGCCAGUGACACUGAUGGGGAGGUGAAAUGAGUUCCCACUAUUGAAUUCUACUCAGAAAAAGGCACCGUUCAUUUUAAAGUAAAAACAUUAUUUCUUUUCUUUUAGCUUAGCCUAGUAUUAAAUAAUAUCUUAAUCUACUUUAAAAUAUUGUACUGUUGUACAUAGAAUAUUUUUCUGUGUAGUGCACUCGUUCUAACUCAUAAGGCAACUCAUUAAAUAGAGGGAAUAAUAUUUUUAUGUCGAGACAAUCUUAAUAGCAGGCCAUAUAGAUUGCAUGGAAAUAGAGAAACGGUGAAUAACUGUUACAGAGUCAUCGUGUCAUUAUCAAAUUGCAUUAAAUUUGCACAGUGGGAAGGCAGCUUAGAAGGUCAUAGAAGGACACACAGCUUUGGGAACAGUCUGAAUGUUGAGUUGACUCAUCUAAAGCACCGUUAUGUAUUUGAUGGUUUCCUUCAUGCUGUAGCAGAAAAUAAUGUUUAAUACUGUGUUGCCAUGAUGCGUUCUUUAUUUGUUCUCAGCUCUGCCUGUGUUUGCAGGACAGUCAGUGCAGCCAGUGGCUUUCUGAAUGAGGUGUUUGCAUUGGUUUAAUAUGAUGUGCUAAGGGCAACAUCAACCCUUUUUCAGUGCUGUUAAACAGAAGGAAAAUACUCUUGCUGUAUCUGCAUAUGCAAACAGUUGCAACAUGCCAGUGUAAAGCAUGUGAACGCAAAGGCAAUCUGUUGCUUUUUCUUUCUUUGGUAGAUGAAUUUGAAGCGGGGAGAACUUACAUGAAAGAAGAUGUCCUUUUUCUCUUAGCGUGUUGCAUUCUUGUGAAAACUCUUGCAUUUUCUUAACUAUAUGGGUGAUUAUGUAGGCAGAGCACCAGCGUAAUUAAGAAUGUGCUUCUGGAGAGAGAAUACUUAAUAAUAAGCAGACGGCUCAGCUACUGCAUUCUCAGAUUGUGUUUGCUUGAAGUAACUUCAACUGGAAGAUCCCACAAGAAACACACAUGUACCUUAGUUAAAACACACAGCAUUGGUGAAAACCAGGGCAAAGAUGGUGAGAAGCCAACUAAGGUUGGCUGAAGGUUUUGUUGUAAAUGAAUGGCUUGUAGAAGCAGCGUGCUGGUAUUCCCACAGAGCCACAUGUUCUGUCACAGCACAUUGAACAUUAAAGUUAUUUGCAGUUCUUACCACUGCGCCUUUUGAAACUAAAGGAUGCAUUGUGUUUUCAGACAAACUCUACUUAUUUUUACUUCUAGAGGGGAAGGAAAAAGAGAAGAUGCUGGAAAUGGAACAAAUCUUUAUUGUGAGAAUGCCAUUGGAAUUCUACUUCUGAUCUGGCUUAAUUCAAAGAGCUCAAAACUUGAUGUCAACGUGUUUUCUUUAACACUUCUCUCUGAAGGGAUUCUGUUGAAGGGGCAGCUGCCUGUGAUGCUUGGGAUGGCUUACAUCUCUGCAUAGGGAAUGGUACAUUUAUCUGGAAGACUGGGCUGUGUUAGUGUUCCUGAGUUUGUAAAACUGCAUUUCAGAAAAUGAAUUUCUUUCCUGCCGCAAGGUGAGUUGUUAAAUUAAACAGUGCCAUUAUUUGAUUGGAUGCUAUUCAAAAGUAAUUAAUGCUGUGUGCUGAAAUGAUCAGAAGUCAUCGAAAUUGAAACUAAGCAAAAAGCCACAUUUCUGUUUGGAAAAGCUCUUUGAAUAUACUGUGGAAUUGGGAAAAAAAAAAUCUUGCUGCAGUGAUAAUUGAUAGCAUUAAAAAAUAUCUAUGAAUACUGAAACUGAGAGAUGUGAUGGGGAGGGAGAGGGUAAACAUACUAUUUUCUUGUUGUUUGCUGAGUCUUUAUUCAUUUUUCUGUUGUGGUGUUUUGUACUUACUGUUCUAUUCAUUAGCAUAAUGGCAGCAUUGUUGUGUGCUGCUUUAGGGACAGCACGUUGUGUUCUCUGGAACAGGGACUGUCUGGAUCAGGAACGCUGUGUCUCCUGCUGGGCAUGGAGGAGGCUGAAAUAUGCCUAUGGAUGAGGAGACAUCGGCAUGCUCUGUUCAUUGCCCAAGAAGAGAAAUGGAUCACCUCAAAAACCUGAGGGCUUGGAGGAUGCUGUUGUUUUUGAAGAUCACUGAAUCCCACAGGAGUCACAGAAUUGUAGGGGUUGGGAGGAACUUCUGGAGAUCAUCCAGUCCAGCUACAAGUAUUUGUAGGAAAUUUGGGGAAUAGAAAGAAGAAAAUGGUCAGUCAGGCCUCUAUAUGUAUCAUAAAUGCUCUCAGUCCUGCAGAAGUCAAUGCAACUGUGCCAAUAUACUCCGGGUGGAAAUCAGACUAAUCCCUGGCUUUCCUAUGAGCAAACAGAUGUUUUGUGUGUACCACUCGGCAACAGCUACAGCUCCUCAGAGCAUGGAGGAUCUGCUCUAAGAUAUUUCAGACCUGUCAGUGCUGUGCUACAAGUCAAGCCGUGCGGAGGAGAAGAACCAACCUUGCAGGAGCAACGUGAGGCGGCGCUUUUGUGAGUCCAAGCCCUGGAGUGCACAUGCUGUUAUAACGAGCUUUGUUCAGGGGAUCUGCUGGUAGAGGCUUCCGAGGAGGGCUUGGCUUGUGGUUUUCCUAUAAUAAAACAGAAACUUAUAUUAAAGCUGGUGUUACAGAUAUAUCAUAUCCUUGCUCUAGCUCAGUGGUUAAGUUCAGCAUAGUUGUAGACACAUUUAGGUGAGCGUAUUGUAACGUAUUUCUAAUAAGGAGGCAUAGAAAUCUUUCUAUUUUAGGGAUUUGGGGUUUUUAUUAUUUAUAUUAGAGAUGCUGUGUGCAUCAAGAUUGGAAUUUCAGAUUAUUUGGUGGCAAAGGAAGAACAACGUAGACUGAAUACAUACAAGAAGAUAUAGGGAAGAGCAGCGGGACUAGCAGUGACAUUAAAAUACAGAUUUAGAUGAGCAUGGAUGCAAACUGCUCAAUUCCAGUUUGAACUGGGGACAUCUGUGAUUCUUUCGUUGUUGUUGUUUAGAGAUGCUGCUGUGCUUUCUUUCCAUUCAGUGGAAUUACAUGAUUCAUUAAUAGGGAACAGAAGUCAUGUGCUGACAGACAUGAGCUCAUGUCUCUUCUGUGUGGUCCCUGAAGCCAUGCAAACAGGGCAGGGUGUCUACUUGUGGUCUUCAUUAAGAAGAACUGGGAUAGAUUAACUGACUUGUUCAGGUCACACAAAGACUCUCCAACGUACCCCAAAUCUCCAGAUCCAGCUGCUAUGGAUCUCACCACGCUUUCUCUAAGAACAAUGCACAGGGUAAUGGUACUAUUCACUGUUAGUUUGCUGUAACUGGUCGACCAGGAAGAAACAAAAGCUUACAGGCAUAAUUUAAAGAUCCCUUGAAAAAUGUAAUCAAAACAGAUCCUUAGAGGCAUGAAUUACUCAUGAAUAAAACACCACUUUUCACCAUUUGUUUUGAACAUCCCUUUGUUUUCUUACUUUGUGUUUUACUCCUUCAGAAAGGGAACACAGGGUGACUAUCAGUAGGCAUUCUAAGAAUAAAUUAAACCAAAAGAAAGCGGGGAAUGAAACUUUCUGAGCAGCACAGAACAACCAAGGACUAACAAGACUCUAUGAUCUUAAGGUUGGAGAAGAUCAUGAAGAUCAUCUAUUCCAACCACUGACCCAUCACUGCCAUACCCACUAAACCAGACCCCUCAGUGCCAUGUUGGGUGUUUUUUUCAACCAUUUCUUUGGAAGAAAGCUGGCUGGAAUGGCUAACCCAUGUCUGCUGAGUUUGGACAUCUCAUUGUCUGGACUUGGCCAUGGAGUGAGCAUCUUCCAUGGCUGAACACAAAGGUAACCCUGAGUGCCUUACCCAAGUGUAUUCUUUGGGUUCUCUUAGCUGAACACCUGAUUUCAUUCCUGACCGACCAAAUGGGGCUAGGAGAUUAAUACUGACUGUGAACCUGGCCCCUCAAUUAAGUAUGCUUGUGUUGUGAAAGCACCUGAAAGAAGCAGCUGUUUAUUAGUUUAGUUAAAUAUUAAAUAUUGUUAAAUAUUAAACUUGGCAACUGUUCAUUUCCUGCUUCGUUUGUUUAUUAUUAAAACUAUUUUAAUUAAAUCUUAAAGGGAUUUUUACUUAGAAGUAAACAAUUCAUUGCUUUCUCGAUGGCCACUAGAAGGGAAGAGACUCGUCUUACAGCUCACCUUGUACAUUGUACCUUAUCUACCCACUGCUCUCAGCCAGAGGCAGCAGGAAAGGAGCUUGUGUGCAAACACAGCUCUCAGAGGAGAGAAGCUGAAGAAGGCUGAUAUAAGCAACAGAAACACUGAAUGGUUUGGGGUACUCUUCUUCAGCGGUGCAUUGCAACACCAGGCACCUGGAUGAUCGAUAUAAAUGGUGUAGCAAUGAUUUUUAAAGUAUUUCCUCUUGCCCUGCUGGAUAUGGUUCCAAGCAAUCGGUUCAGAUGCAAUACAAUACUUCUGAUAGCAUCUACAUAAAUUAGACCCAAACUAUUCUAAAGCUAAUUUACAUCCUCUAAACUUUGAGGGGGUAAAUAACUAACUUGGGAAGAAAAUGUUUUCUUCCCAUGCAGUCAUUUCUGUAUCCCCAGAGUAUAAAAAGCAGUUAUUUCUGACAAUCUUGAAUUAUAAUUUUUGAAAGAAUGUACUCCUGCUCGUUCUCUAAAGUUGCCUUGAGUUGAUUCCAUGUUUGUCAUGCUUCUGUUUCAUACAGCAACUGAAAAUUGAAAACAUUGUUAUUUUGCUUGAUGGAGUUGCAAUUAAUUUCAGCUGCUAAGCUGAAAAGCUGCUUUUGCAGCUUCGGCUCUGUCAGACUUUGGUAUUCUGCUUUGUGGGAUGUGUAGGAGUGGGCAUGUACAUAGGGAGAGGAAUUUAGUGACUGCAUUUGCUGUGGCUGGCUGGGGCAGAUGUCCUGUCACAAUGAGAACCAGUUCCUGUUCCCUGGAAAGCCCUUUCUCUAUCUGUCCUCUGCUAGCGAGGGCUGGCUUCUACAGUGCUAGAUGAGGUGUUCUUAUUAGCAAACCAUUUGAUUAAGGAAUUGAAAAGCAUUUGUACUUAGAAUACCAAUUUUAACCAAUGUGAAAUAUGCAGUAUUCUAAGAAAUGCAAGGAAGCAAAAAGCAAAACUGUCAGAGCUAAAGACACAAACAACACCAACCAGUACCAGUCCAGAUCUCCCAUAAACCCCAUUUUUGAAAUAAUCAAUAUUAUAAAAUAAAUGAAUGACUAGCAGGGUGGAAAAAGGAAGAAGAAAAGCUUGAAUACUUUGAAAAAAUUAAUAAACUGUCUCUACUUUUAAAAGUUGAUUGAACACAAGUGAUUCAAUGUUCAGACAUGCAAAUUAAAUUAAAACCUUCUACACUCUUUCUAGCUCUAUAAUGCCUGAUUCCUUUCCUAAGAAACAGACAUGCUACAAAUGUGACCAAAAGAGAGAAGUUAAAGACAAGGAAAGGGCAAUGUGAUAUAGACAGCUGCACAGACAACUCCAUCUACCCUGAACACUGCCUUGAGAUGCAUCUUAUUACAAACCAACUCUCCUGAAACUUUGGAAAGAAAGGUAGGUCUACAUAGAAUAAGUGUGGACAAUCAGAAGUCUUUCUUUUGAGAUCUGUGCUCUGUAAUAACCCAACAAAUCCCAUGCCCUUUAGAAGAACUGAACUGCAAGCUAAUAUAUAUGUUUUGUUCCUGUGCAAGGAAUUUGUCAUUUGACUUCUGCAACUAUAUUAUUACUUCUGUCACCUUCCUAACAGUCCGUAUAGCUUCCCCUCCUGGUUAGGCAGGACAAGUCUGGCUGUGACACAGAACUUGUCUGUAUUGCUGUGUCUUCUCAGUGGUGGAACGUUGGGAUUGGUGCCUCCAUUGGCAGAAACCAAUAUUGCCCUCCUAAGUACAAUGGGAUCUAAAGGCAUUAUUAUUAUCUACACCCUAUUCCUACACUGCAAAAAGUACAAAGAAAAGACUAUGGUUAAAGGCAAAUGGGAAAGAUGAGAGAACUACUUCAUUCCUAUUCAUUAUAUGUGAAUAUUCACACACUCAAAGGAAAUCUGUGGUUACCUGGGACAGCCUGAGCGUGGGGUUGGCAGGAAGGGGCCUUUCAGGCCCAGCUUGGUGGCAGGGUGGCUGGGGAAGGGGCGGCAGGACACGCUGUGGGGUCUUUGGCUGUGGCACAUGGUGUGUCUUCACUGGGUCACUGAUGUCAACAAUCUGAUAGGGCAGUGGACGCCUUGGGCCGUCUCUCUGCAGAAACAACCAACAGUUGUAAACACUGGGAGCUGAUACAAGAAUUACAGCUCUAAAAAUCUGUGCUAUUUAUGACAUAUGUUACUUAGAAGUUAUGAAUCUCAUUUAAGUGCUUACUUAAAGAUGACUUACUUUUUGCAUGUUUGUAUUUUGUGGCUUCAUGACGAGGUUUUUACUGAGAGAUGCGGUACGAACGUGAUUGGGCUUAGAUGAUCUAGAAGAUCUCGCUGGGCUCACAGACCUGCAAUACGAGCGUAUAUGUAUUGAACACAACAGUCUGCUUCGUGGUGUUCUAUUAAACAGCAAUCUCUUUUCAGAAUGAGAUUUCACAAGGACUGGCUGACUUUUUACAGUAAACAAGGAAAGUAAAGAUACUCUAGCGCUCCUGCAAGAAUAAAAAUAAAUAUUGAUUUUUUGGAAACCAGUAGUCUGUUAAAUUAGCUUCUGCAAUCUGUGGCAAUGCAGCUUUGUAAUGCCCAAGAGACUCUUCUAAUGAAUCUAGCAUUUAAACAGUAAUGACCUCAAAUAUGAAAGUAUUGGCUCACUUGACUGAGCGUAGAUAAAAGGCCAUGCGAUGUAAUGAAAGUGUUUGAUGCAAAUGGAAAUAAAUCUAGGUAAGACUUCCUUCAGUUCCAAAUAUUUUUGUCACAAAAAAGAGGUGCGCAGUCAAACCAAACCCCAGAUUAUUAACAACAAUCGGUGACGUUUAACUGAAUCAGAAAAGCACUGCUGAUGACACUGGGUGAAUGUUUUUAAGGCUGGAUCUGCGUAAAGCACAGACAGACCAUUCUCAGAUGAACACUGAGAUGAGAUUUGCUGUGCUCACAGUUAUUUGCUACUCCUAUUUUUAAAGAUAAUAAUAACAGGGAGCAUAAUUACAGAAACCAAUCAUACCUUAAUUUCUCUAUUGUCGUCUUCUUACUUGUAAACAGCAGUCUCAUGAGAGUCUUCCUUUUCAGAUACAUGACUGACCCAGCAAAGGUAAGGCACAGAAUGGUGAUCAACACUCCUACAGUUAAACUCUUAUUAUCUGCAACAAAACACAGCCAGUUAACUUCUACCAAGAGCCAUCUGUAUUGAAAUGUACCCUGUACUGCUGCGGCCCAGCCCUGGUGACUGCUGUUCCAGCUUGCUUUAAGCUGUGAAGUGCAUUGCUGGGACCUAAGUGAGGCUUAGAAGAGAUGCAGACCCUGGCUGGAUGACUUCCAGCUGGAAGCAAGCCUUGUUUUUAGGAAGAGGUAAACAGCAGCUCUGAUACUGAUGGAUGUGUGAUAUGAUCGUCGUCUGGAGGAGGGGAUGUUAUGGUUCUGCAGGACUGCUGACCUAAAAGUGCACCCUCCCACAGCAAGAGAUGCAUCUUUAAACUUUGCUCUGGUAACCAGUCAUCACUGUCUCAGCCUUAUCCUGGUGGAAUUUCGGCCAGCUGGCGCUCACCCUGCACCAGGGCAAGGAAACGCGGUCAGCAACAAUGUGGGACCUGAUGGGUGUGAAGUGCUGCAGAGCAACGCAUCCCCCACUAUUUCUAGAAGAUGGAUAAAAUUAUUACAUUUAGAUUAUGCAAUUUAAAUUAAUUAGCUUCUCUACUUAGCAAUUCAAUAUUUAAGGCUUCUCAAUAAGAAAAAUACUCAGUCAAACACCUGGGUUUACUCCGAGUCAGCUGGGAGAAAUCAGUUACUACUAAAUGCUAAUGAGACCACGUGCUGCAUUUGACGAAGAUAAAUGCAUUUUAUUGAGCUAAUUCUUUAGUAAUUUGAUUUGGAGAUGUGCAAACUACUCAGAUCAUCCCAACCACCCUGUCAGGAGCUCAUAUUGAAAUCCAAAUGUCAAGGGGUAGAGAAUUAGGUCCUCUAGCAAUUUCCGUAUUAGUUUAUUCCUGUAUUAUUAAAUGCAGUGCUGUCUUUAGAGAAAAAUGGUUAAAAUACCACGCUGUGAAAACAGCUUUCUGUUAAAUUGAAGCAUUGCCUUCUAAAACACAAACUAAAAGAUAACCUGUAUUUGUCUUCAGUUAGCAUUGCCUAUGCAGCACGUUAUUAUAAUGUAUUUGUAGCUCCCUAGAUGCUUUGAUACAAGAUAAGCUGAAAAGGGAAUAUAAUGCUUUAGAGCAAAUCUGAGCAGAAGAACAUCUAACACAUGGGUAGUCACACUUGUUCAGUGCCUGAGCACCGCUCCUUUGCUAUCUUACCAGCUGGUAGGUAUUAAAAGAAAUACCUUUCAGCAGAGGAAUCACAAUGUGCUGCUUUGUCAUGGAAAUGACAGUGAUGUCAUAAAUCCAACAUUGCAAUUCAGUGCAGGAUCUGGCGUGGAGAGAAUACAAUCCAUUUUGGUUUUGGACGGCAUAUAUUCAUGUGAAAAUGGGCAGAUCACUUUCCAGCAAGUCUGAGGUUAUAUAUGGAUAUGUGAGCAGGCUGCUGGCCCUGUCACUUGCUCAGACAUAAAUCAGAAAUAUCUCUAUGGAAGUCACUAAAGUUACAGUACUGUGGAGAAAAAUUGGCGAGUGAUGAUUAUCAAAUCCUAUAAAACUGCACUACGUGUAGAAAUAAUUCCUUCCGAGGCCGGCCAGAGAUGGAGGGAGAUACUGAUGCCAAUGUUCUGCAGACUGAACAAGGGGAAGCUGAAAUACAAAUUACAGAACAAUCACUUGUCCUAUUGCUAUCAUAUGGGAAGGGAAUUUCUGCUUAACCUGCAGAAGCCUUCUACAAAAUGUAGUUAAAGUCCGAUACAAUCACAAAUCAUCUUUGUUCCACAGUGCAGAAAUAUAGAAACAAUAAUGAAAUCCUUCUAGAAGCACAGUAUCGGGUAUAGUUCUGAUUCUUCCAUGCACAGAAAUGUUGCAUGUCUCAUCUUUGCGGUCUGCAGCUGUCUGUAGGCACAAACCACAGCAGUGCAUGCAGUCAGGCUGUUCCAUCCUGAUGCCUUCAGGGGAAUGUACCAAAGCACGGCACAGCUGUGGGUGAACCCAGGGCACAACAGUUCCCCAACCACGACAACAGGGCCCAUGCACGGGAGCCAGCUCCCUGCUCUCGGCUUAGGCCAGUGCCAUGUCCUGGUCAUUUUGGGAAGGCUGGAUGUGGCUCUUGGCAGCCUGGUCUGGUGGCUGGUGACCCUGCACAUAGCAGGGGGUUGGAACUGGACGAGCACUGUGGGCCUUUGCAACCCAGGCCAUUCUGUGAUUCUAUGAUCUAACUCAACUUGAUCAUACAUCUUGAAAAAAGAAAAGAUAAGACUCACCACGAUACCGUGCCUUUAGUUAAGCAAGAGGAGUGACGCACUCAGCUGCCUUUGGCUUUGCUUCACCAGAUUUGCAAGUUGCUACCAAUGCACUUAGAAAAAGCUGUUUUCCUGACUUCCCAUCGCUCACUGCUCACAAGGUGACAUUUUGCAUUUUCAUUCUUUAUCUUGAAAGCAAGAGGUAAAGCGUGAAUUAUUACCCACCUGCUUGCCUGAUGGGCCCACUGUCCACGCUGCCACCAAAGCCCGGCUUGUCGCAGUAUGGGGGGGCCCAGUCAGCCUCACAGUGACAGUUCUUUUUGUUGUUGCAAACCUUCAAAAGAAAAGACAGACGGCCUAACAUGAAAAGGAUUCUGCUGUAUAACUGGGAACAGCACUGGCCAACAGUGCCUCUUAAUCAGCUGCUGACACAUCUGAGCGAAAUAAAGCUCAUGACACAAAAGGGAUGUACUGGUAUUUUGCUCCUUGUCACAACUAGGAUGGCACAAAGCGACUCCAAAUACAAGGGGGAGGAAAAAACCCAGCGUUAUUAUUUAUGUAGCAGGUAAUAGUUUGAGUCGCAUCAGCUGACAACUUCAAUAACCACAAUAAGGAUAAUCAGACACCUCUUAAAUCUUAUUCUCUCUUUGCCUCCAGCAGCAACAUUAUCUGUUUUCUAACUUCUGUUCCUUCUGCCUUCACAGGAAGAGGAGCUGCUCCGUGUUCUUAACACCAUAAAGCUUUGUCAGCUCAACCUGAUCCCUUCUAUCCAUCAAGGUCUCAUGUCAGACCACACACUGAUUUCUCUGCUGCUCAGACCCCAGCUCUGAGAUGCAACAGUUGCUGGAAGAAGAUCUACGGGAGUUCCCCUCCACAGUUCCACAAGGUCCUCCCUGGCUACUUGUGAGUCCCUGUAGGCUCUCCAUCAUGCAGGCAUAAAGAUGCCUCCCCCUAAGCUGAUGGUUACCCCAGCAUAAUGAGGCAUUCCCCCUCCUAAUGGACUGAAGAACAAGAGAGUACAAGCGCAGAAAAAGACAGAAUCACUGCCCCAGAAAAUUACAGUUUUCAGAGAUAAGACAGCCACAGCAUUCAGGAGGAAGACAGUGGCUGCUGAUUGAUGUAUGGUAGCACAGUAGGUCAGCUACAGCCCUGGCACAGGUCCUGCUGAGGAGCAGUGUUUGCCAUCGCUGUCAGUGUCAUUCCUAUCUCUAGCUUGAACACAACACGAGUGGCACUGACUCGUGCUGGAGCAGAUUCCUGCUCCAACCUAAAAAUCCCACUACAGGACUACAGAAAAACCUCGGGAAAGCCAUCAGAAGUGGGACCUCCUUUGCUCUCCUAAACUUCUAGAUGUCCAUCUACACCUACUGGUGCCUGAACAUUUCACACCUUGGGUCUGCUUCCUCCACAUUCCUCUACUAUCAAACAAAAGACUCCCUUUGGGCCACAUUUUCCUGCUUCUCAAGAACCACUGGAGCAGCAUCUCCAUCAAUACUUCUGGCAAUUCUCUGUGUAUUGCACAGCUGUGGGCUCACUAUGUCUUGGAAAUGAAAGUAAUGAUUGGUAUGGAUAUUGGUAUCCUAUCCAAUCUCAGAUGAUUUUCUUAUUCAAGAACAGUAGGGCAUUUAUAAAGUAACUUCUCUCCAAAAUGUUGGUGUAUACAUAUAUAUAUAUACACACACACAUUAUACAAAUGCAUACAUUAUAUAUCUAUUUAUAGGGCUCAUUCAUUCCAGUUCAUAGCACAAUCUGAUUAUUCAGCAUUAUAGCAAUGUUUAUACAGAGCCUUUUACCUAAGGCCCUGAAGUGUUUUACAAUUAUUCACUCAAUUAAAAUGCACAACAGCCCCAAAGAGCUCUAUUAAGUACCACUGGGCCCUUCUUCCCUGAGGUAAUAUGAUAAUUGGAGAUUAUAUUAAUUUUAAAAGGGCAUUCUGAUUUUCCCGCACACUCCUCUUGAAAUCACUGUUGACUCACUAAUGUCCAAAGGUGCAGAAAAAUGGGACCUGGAUUUGUCCAGAAUGAUAGAAAAAUCAUGCCUGAGAGGCUCUGUUUGGAACAGCUCAGGCAUCAGCAAUGUGUUUGUAAGCAUGAAGGUGCUCAAAGACAAGAGCUCCAGCCCCAAGUCAGAAAUUUCACUUGUCUAGCACCUGAAUUUUCAACAUUCUUCAUGAUAACUCCAUGUCUUAACUGAACACUUCUGUGUCACCCAUCAGCCCCAGGACUCCUUGAGAUACACAGCUGCAAUGAUCCUGUUUCUUCUCUUAAGCAAGGGCCCACAUCAACAACAAUGCUCAGUCGAGCAGGGGGAGGCUUUCACCUUCCUAUUGAAUACAAACCUCUGGGCUCUACAGAGUGAAUUCAGAACCAAUGUGUCAGUUUCCUAUUGCAAACCCCAGUUUUACCUAUGAAACUAAACCCAACUUUUUAAACUUAAAAUAUAGAGAUAGUUUUGCUUUUGUUAAUUCACGUACAACUGAUUUUUUGUACCGACACACUGUCAGCAGCAGAGAAAGUGAAACAAAAGUUACACUCUAAGAAGGCAGAAACUAAAGAGAAAGCAGUGGUUUCAGACCCACUGCGGUGUUGAUCUCAAGGAGCCAUGACAAUUUGCCAGCCUCCUCCAUCUCCUGAUCUAAUUGACAUAAUUGUUUCCCACACAAAGGCUUCCUCUUUGGUUUUAACCUUCUAGACACAAUUAUUGCUCUCCAUCUAUUGAAAACAACUUUUCAGGUCUCCUAAGAGAUAUGAGCCUAGUAGAACAAAACGGAAUUUGCUAUUAGAUGACAUUUUAGAUGCUUCAGCUGUUCUAUGCCGUGUCUUACGUUAAUGAAUUAGUAAUCAUAGAGAACCUCACUGAACAGGGUAUUGAGCAAGAGAUAAGUCCUGUUUCCUUUGAUAUUGAAAUAGGUUUUCAAAUGCUGUAGAUCUCUCAGUGUAUAAAGUUCUGUCAUUUCCCACUAUUUCAUACCCCUCACGUUUCAGCUGCAAUUGUUUAAAAUCAGGCAACUGCCACAGAAUGGAGGUCGUGUUAAUCUAUUAUUUAAAUAGUGACUUCGUCUGUAAGUACUUUUGAGGGAGAAAGCCACAUAGUUUUAAAGCAGAUCUCACAAGCACAUUGAAGCCAAACAAGAUCCUAACAGUAGCUGCAGAUUCCCUCCCUGAAAAAAGGAAUUCUGCAAAAAGCAAUUUUAUUUUAAUCUACAUAAAGUAUUGAAGGAGGAAGUUUGCUUCAAAAGAAAUUAGAUGUCUGGCAACUCAUGCUUCUUUUUUUUCCUAGCCUAUUUUUCACUAUAUAGCUCCUCUUUUAUAGUUUUAAUCCCUAAAGCAUCAAUAAAGUAGAGCAAAGAAUUGGGCCAUGUAGCUAUACAUGACAUCAAAGCUCUUGCUGUCUGAGUUCAUGGUCAGUGAUUUAAAAGCAAGCCUGGAUCUCUCCCACAGCUGCUGUCAUGUUCACUCUACGGUAGUUUUUACACUUCCAAUAAAUAACCAUGAACGUCACACCAGUGAUUACAUUAAUUGAUAUGUAGUGGCAAUUGCCUGUUGUGCUGCAAUGAAAUUGCCUUGGUUAUUGAAAUAAAGUCUUUCCAAAUAAAUGUUUAAGCUUGACUCACAAAU